AGUUGAUCAUACGGUCGCGUAGUUUCGGCUAUGAGGAAAGUCCGAGCACCGCAGAGCAGGACGCCGGAUAACGUCCGGUGGAGGCGACUCCAAGGAAAGUGCAACAGAAACAGACCGCAGAGAAAUCUGUAAGGAUGGAAAGGGGAGGUAAGAGCUCACCGACGCCGCGGUAACGCGGCGUGCCGUGUAAACCCCGUCCGGUGCAAGAUUGGGUUUUUGCCAUACAGGGCUGCUCGUCCGGCAUGAACCGUAAAUAUCGCUGGAGCGCAUCGGCGACGAUGCGUCGAGAUAGAUGACCGUACACGACAGAACUCGGCUUACAGAUCAA
This 328-nucleotide RNase P RNA is filed under the name human gut metagenome. RNAcentral's name for it is "Bacterial RNase P class A". It matches the Rfam family "Bacterial RNase P class A". Rfam says of the family: Ribonuclease P (RNase P) is a ubiquitous endoribonuclease, found in archaea, bacteria and eukarya as well as chloroplasts and mitochondria. Its best characterised activity is the generation of mature 5'-ends of tRNAs by cleaving the 5'-leader elements of precursor-tRNAs. Cellular RNase Ps are ribonucleoproteins. The record is from RNAcentral. RNAcentral also lists the same sequence under 1 other name.